RNA transcript from Hypanus sabinus (Atlantic stingray), 6967 nucleotides. It is a transcript of the gene named copper-transporting ATPase 2-like, with no coding region annotated. The transcript has 22 exons. Lineage: Eukaryota; Metazoa; Chordata; Chondrichthyes; Myliobatiformes; Dasyatidae. The record is from RefSeq and is a predicted model, not a curated record.
CUUGUGGAUCUUGGGGAAGAGGUUGAAAUGUGCUGUGCAGGAAUGGAGGAUCAUAAAGCUGGAAGCUGGGGAAGGAAGAUCCCCAAGGAACUAAGCAGGAGUUCUUUCUUGUCAAAGCGUACACCGAGAUUUUGAUAUUUUGCGCUUUCACUGAGUAGCUGAGAAAGCAGCAAUGAAAGGAUCUAGAAAAGAAACCACACACAAUGAGGUUCAAGACCAAGCCAAGGCAGAUAGCAUGGGUUCUGAACUGAGUGACAAUGAUACUUCACCUCCAGUUUCUGGAAAUGCACUUCAGUCACCUGUCACUACAAGUACUUGGGCGCAGCGUGGAAGGAAUAAAGAUUUGCUGCUCUGUGACGAAAGCAACGUUUCACAGAUGUGUGAUUCUAGCAAAGAGGAGGCAAAUUCAGCUCAGGUGCCUUUAGGGAAACACAAUGAUACUCUUGUCUACACUCCUACAGAACAAAGCCCAAAGUCUUUACGGUACGGCAUCAAUAACGUUGGACUGGAGGCCAACCUGAGUGAACUAUUUCCUUUACCAGUUGGGAUCAGCAAUGUCUAUAUCAAUAUUGUUGGCAUGACUUGCCAGUCAUGUGUGCAGUCAAUAGAGGGACACAUUUCUAAACAGAAUGGCAUUGUUAGUAUUAGGGUCUCUCUCAAACACAAUACUGCUCUGGUGCAGUAUGAACCAACGAUAAUCACCGCUCAACAGAUAUGUGAGGCAAUUGAUGACAUGGGCUUUGAAGCAUUUCUCUCUAAUCAAGAUCCACCACUGCUUGAGAAGAAAGUUCAUUUACCCAUUGAAGCAAUGGUGAAAAUGAAGGUGGAAGGCAUGACUUGCCAUUCUUGUGUAAGUUCAAUUGAAAACAAAAUCGGAAAGCUGCAUGGUGUGAAUCGAGUCACAGUCUCCCUUAACAACCAAAAAGCAGUUAUAAUUUACCAGCCUCAGGUGAUUCAACCCGAAGAGCUUCAAAACCAAAUUAAUGACGCGGGUUUUCAAGCAACGAUCAAGAGCAGGACAAGCUCUCUAAAACGAGGUGUGAACAGCGCACAAGAUGGUAAACAAAAUAAAGCAGUGAAAUCAAAGAAGGUGGCAUCACAUUCUGUCAGGAACCCCAUGACAGUAACUUUCUGCAUAGAGGGGAUGCAUUGCAAGUCCUGUGUCUCUAAUAUUGAAGGGAAUGUCAGCGAGCUCCCAGGAGUGCAGAGUAUCACAGUGUCUUUGGAGGAAAAAAAAGCUAUUGCAAAGUAUGAUCCUCUCUUGACUAAUCCAACAUCAUUAAAAUCAGCUAUAGAGGCUUUACCACCAGGAAAAUUUAAAGUAUAUCUUCCAAAUGGAAUGGAAAUGAGAAGUGAGCCUUUUUCGUCAAUUCCACUGACACCAUUAAUACACGAGCCAAAUGGUAGUACUCAAAAGCACUUUCAAACUUCCACCAUCACAACUGCUUUCAACAUUGGAGGAAUAGCUCAUAAUUUUUGCAUCCAGUCUAUAGAGAGUGAGAUCUCCAAAAGAAAAGGGGUGAAAUCAAUUGAAGUUUCACCAGCCGAAGAGCAAGCAACAAUCCACUUUGACCCAGCAUUAACAAAUUCAGAGGAACUGAAAACUGCCAUAAAUGAGAUGGGAUUUAUUGCCUCUGUGUCUGAGUCUUCAAGUCAUUCCAAUGCAAGAAACAAUGAACAGUCUGCUGAAAGGAAGAAUCAAGCUUUGCCAUCUAAAGAUUAUGCCCUUGAGUUUCUACCCUCCAGAACCAGAUCCAAUAACCAAAAUAAUGAAGACCAUGUGGCAAAAGAAAAAUGUUUCCUACAGAUCACUGGUAUGACUUGUGCUUCUUGUGUUGCUAACAUUGAAAGAAAUCUUCAAAAAGAAGAAGGUAUACAUUCCGUUCUGGUAGCACUAAUGGCAGGAAAAGCAGAAAUAAAAUAUAACCCGGAUAUCAUCCAACCUACUGCUAUUGCAGAAUUAAUCAAAGAUUUAGGAUUUGGUGCUACUGUGAUAGAAGACACAUCUUCAGCUGGAAACCUAGAACUCAAUGUUACAGGAAUGACUUGUGCUUCUUGUGUUCACGAUAUUGAAUCAAACUUAACAAGAGCUGACGGCAUUUUGUAUGUGUCAGUAGCCCUUGCCACCAGCAAAGCCUACAUCCAACUGGAUCCAGAGAAAUUGGGCCCACGUGAUAUCAUCAGAAUAAUUGAGGGACUUGGCUUUGGAGCAUCUUUGGUCAAAAGAGAUACAGCAGUACACAAUCUGGAUCAUAAAGAGGAAAUAAGACAGUGGAGGAAGUCCUUCUUAUUUAGCCUUAUUUUUGGCAUCCCUGUCUUUGGCCUAAUGAUAUACAUGAUAGUGAUGGACAAGCACAGUGGCUCCAUGCCUCCAGAACAAAAUAUUAUUCCGGGUUUAUCGACUCUCAAUCUGGCUUUCUUUGUUCUGUGUACUCCUGUUCAGUUUAUUGGAGGAUGGUACUUCUACGUACAAGCCUACAAGUCUCUAAAGCAUAAAACUGCCAAUAUGGAUGUGCUCAUCGUUCUGGCAACUACCAUUGCAUAUCUGUACUCCUGUGUAAUACUGAUUGUGGCCAUCGCUGAAAGGGCAGAACAAAGUCCAGUGACUUUCUUUGAUACUCCACCAAUGCUGUUUGUCUUCAUUGCCUUGGGGAGAUGGCUGGAGCAUGUAGCAAAGAGUAAGACUUCAGAAGCUCUUGCUAAGCUGCUAUCCCUUCAAGCUACAGAGGCAACAGUGGUAACCCUGGGACCAGACAAUUCAAUACUGGGUGAGGAGCAGGUAGCUGUGGAACUGGUCCAAAGAGGUGAUGUUAUAAAGGUCGUCCCCGGUGGCAAGUUUCCUGUGGAUGGAAAGGUAGUGGAAGGUUCCUCUAUGGCAGACGAAUCUCUCAUUACAGGUGAACCCAUGCCAGUUGUCAAAAGAGCAGGAAGUAUAGUGAUUGCUGGUUCUAUUAAUGCACAGGGGACUCUGCUGAUUCAAGCUACCCAUGUGGGUUCAGACACAACCUUGUCACAGAUCGUUAAACUAGUAGAGGAAGCACAGACAUCAAAGGCACCAAUUCAGCAACUUGCAGAUAAAUUGAGUGGAUAUUUUAUUCCUUUUAUUGUUAUCCUUUCUGUGGUUACUCUCAUCACUUGGAUCAUCAUUGGUUUUGUUAACUUCGACUCCAUGAAAACACAUUUGUCGGGCUACAACAAGAAUAUUUCUAAAGCUGAGCUGAUCGUCCGGUUUGCAUUUCAGACCUCCAUUACAGUUUUGUCUAUUGCAUGUCCAUGUUCCCUGGGACUGGCGACGCCAACAGCUGUGAUGGUGGGUACAGGUGUGGGGGCUCAAAAUGGCAUUCUCAUCAAGGGUGGAGAACCACUGGAGAUGGCACACAAGAUAAAAGUAGUGAUGUUUGACAAGACUGGUACGAUUACACAUGGUGUUCCAAAGGUAAUGAGGGUUCUCAUACUGAGAGAUCUAGCUGAACUGCCAUUGAAGAAACUGCUUGCAGUUGUUGGCACCGCAGAAGCCAGCAGUGAACAUCCUCUUGGAAAUGCCAUCACUAAAUAUUGUAAAGAAGAACUUGGGACAGACGUGCUUGGGUACUGUAUGGACUUUCAGUCUGUUCCGGGCUGUGGCAUUAGCUGCAAAAUUACCAAUAUUGAAACAGUGUUGAGGGAAAGUGAACGAAAUCUCAACAAACAAGGGGAACAAAGCACACAUUUAAUGCAGUUUACUGACUCACCUGCCACACCGUUCUCGCAGAUUACUGAAGGAGAAGGUGCAGUGGCUUCCCAGGUCUACUCUGUGUCCAUUGGAAACCGGGAGUGGAUGAUGCGCAAUGGAUUGCAUGUUGGAAUUGAUGUUGAUGAGGCUAUGAUUAAUCAUGAAACCAAAGGACAGACUGCAGUGCUGGUGGCAAUUGAUGGUGCGCUGUGUGGGAUGAUUGCAAUUGCAGAUACUGUCAAACCCGAAGCAGCCCUGGCUGUGUGCACCUUGCAAAGUAUGGGAGUAAAUGUGGUGCUCUUAACAGGAGACAACUGCAAAACAGCAGCAGCAAUUGCCAGCCAGGUUGGCAUCAAGAAAGUGUUUGCAGAAGUUCUUCCCUCACAUAAAGUAGCCAAAAUUCAGGAGCUUCAGGAUCAGGGUAAAAUAGUUGCAAUGGUUGGAGAUGGGGUGAAUGAUUCACCUGCCUUGGCUAAAGCUGAUGUGGGAAUCGCCAUUGGAACAGGCACUGACGUGGCAAUUGAAGCAGCAGAUGUUGUGCUUAUAAGGAAUGACCUCCUGGAUGUUGUGGCGAGCAUUGAUUUAUCAAAAAAGACAGUUCGUCGAAUUAGAAUAAAUUUUAUAUUUGCCUUAAUUUAUAACCUGGUAGGAAUUCCUAUUGCUGCUGGUGGGGAGAGGUUUUCAAAGAUUAAUUUGUCACAAGCCAAUCUGCAAAUGGAGAUUGAGUAGUCAAGCAGGAAGUUCUUCACAAUCAGCACUCACAAGAGACUAUUCCAGUAUAAUCGUCUCAUCUUUGGCGUUGCAUCAGCUCCAGCAAUUUGGCAAAGAGCAAUGGACCAAAUAUGCCAAGAUAUCCCAGGAGCACAAUGUUACCUUGUUGACAUCAUUGUGUCUGGCAAGAAUGAUGAGGAGCACCUCCAGAACCUUGGUAAAGCAUUUACCAGGCUGAAUGAGUAUAGUCUGCAUGCAAAGAGAGAAAAAUGUGAGUUUUUCAAGAAUGAAAUCUCAUACUGUAGGCAUGUCAUAGACAUGCAUGACUUACAUAAGUCACAAGAGAAGAUUGAAGCAGUGCUACAGGCACCCAAACUGGAAAAUGUCUCACAACUCAGGUCAUACUUGGGCCAUGUAAACUACUACCACCAGUUUUCCCAAACAUUGCAUCCAUUGAACGCACUACUACAGACAGGAGCAAAGUGGGAAAGAUCAGAAAGAUCUGAAAAAGUAUUCAAGGAAACAAAGAGACUAAUAACAUCCAAUGAACUGCUCACCCAUUAUGACUUAUCUCCGCCCAUCAGACUGGUGUGUGAUGCGUCCCCUUAUGGCAUUGGAACCAUUUUAUCACACAUUAUGAAAGAUGGAUCUGAAUGCCUGAUUGCAUAUGCUUCAAGAUCACUGACGAACGCAGAACGCAUCUACACACAGAUCGACUAAAAGUCUAGUAUGCAAAAUAAAAAAAGUUCCACCACUACCUCUACAGUCAAAGGUUUAUACUAGUGAUAGAUCACCAGCCCCUUGUGUCCAUUUCCAAUCCCAGGAAGAGAAUUCCAGUGAUGACCGCUACCCGGUUACAACAUUGGGCACUAUUCCUGGGAACCCACUCUUAUGACAUAGAGUUCAAGGAUACCAAGCAACACAGCAAUGCUGAUGGCUUUACACUUUCUGUUCUUGGCAACCGAAGAAGAAAAGUCUUCAUACUGUGAUCCAACAGAAGUCUUCCACACCACAUCGGUGGACCAGUUGCCAGCAACAAAUUCCGAAAUGCAAAGGGAAGCAAGGAAUAACCCAACAUUGUCAAAAGCCUAUGAAAUCACCACGUAAGGAUGGCCAGAUCAUGGUAACCCUAUGAUUCUAGAGUUCUCAGCGAGACAAGACCAACUGUUGGUAUGUUAAAGAACACUGAUGUGUGGAUCUCGUGAUGUAGUUCCCUCAAAACUGUGCACCAGAGUGUUAGAAAAUCUGCAUGAAGACACCUGGAUACAGUCAAGAUGAAGAGUCUCACCUGCAUCUAUGUGCAGAGGCUGGGAAUAGAUAAACAGAUUGAAAGCUUGUCCGAAAGCUAUUUGGGAUGCCAAAAAGUUCAAAAUGCACCCCCACAAGCACCAUUACACCUGUGGAAGUGGUCAUCAUCACCGUGGCAAAAAGUACUGUGGUGAACUACAUAUACCUAUCUGGACACGCCCCCUGCUGACUGCUCCUGUGGCUCCUCCCACAGACCCCUGUAUAAAGGCGAUUGAGGUCUGAGCCCGGCCUCUCUGUCUCCAGGAUGUAGUACGGUGGUCAACCACUGCUUGUUCCUUCUUCCAGUCAAUAAAAGCCGAUAUCUCGCCUUUACAUCUCAGAGAGAGUUAUUGAUGGUGCAUCAAUUUUAUUGACUGGAAGUUUUAAUACAUGGAAACCGUUUUACAUCCGGAAAGAUUGGAUUUGGACCCCCAAGACCCUGGAGCGGCUCUUGCCUUUGAACUCUGGCUUGCAUGCUUCCAAUCAUACUUGGAGAAGGUUAGUGCAACUGAACCCGCUGUUAUGCACCGAAUUCUCCUCUCGAGGGUCACCCCAAAAGUUUACUCAUUUAUCAGGGACCUGCUGACCUAUGAAGGGGCACUGGACGCCCUCAAACGACAGUACCUGCGGCCGGUAAACACCAUCUACGCUUAGCUACCCGAAGGCAGCAGCCUGCAGAGUCGAGCGCCCAGUUUCUCCGAGCCCUACAGACACUUGUCCGAACUUGUGACUGCAAAACUCUCACAGCGGAACAGCAUGCGGAGCUGCUAGUACGAGAUGCCUUUGUUACGGGGAUCAGGUCAGUGUAUGUGCGCCAGCGGCUGCUGGAAAAUGCCGAUCUUACCUUACACUCGGCGAUCGAGACAGCCGACACGCUGGAGGCUGCUCUGCACAACGCUGAUGCUGUCCAGCCGCGUGAUUCCCCGCUGGUUCCGUGGACACCUCAGACCCUGCCGCUGCCGGUUCCCGUGAGCGAAUUCGCCAACACCACUGCCAGUCGUGAUUCCACGAACUCCCCGAACCCGACCACGGCUGUGGCCAGGCAAAAGCCCGAGCUGUGUUACUUCUGCGGACUUGAAAAGCACCCCCGAAAACGCUGUCCGGACCGAGAAGUGACCUGUUCCAGCUGUGGGAAGAAGGGCCAUUUUUCCAAGGUGUGUUUUUGCCUUUGGGCCUAGUUUUACAGCCAUGGAUGGGUUCUGCUGCAAUGGCUGCUUCCUCUGUUUCUGUGGUGGUUUCUUCAUUAUUGUUAAAACU